GAUGAAGAACGUAGCGAAAUGCGAUAAGUAGUGUGAAUUGCAGAAUUCAGUGAAUCAUCGAAUCUUUGAACGCACAUUGCGCCCCUUGGUAUUCCAAGGGGCAUGCCUGUUCGAGCAUCAUUUGUACCUUCAAGCUUUGCUUGGUGUUGGGUGUUUGUCCAUUCUCUUGCAGAGGGACUCGCCUUAAAGUAAUUGGCAGCCAGUGUUUUGGUUUUGAAGCGCAGCACAAGUCGCGAUUCAAAGCUAUACGCCCGCUUCCAUAAGCCUUUUUCACUUUUGACCUCGGAUCAGGUAGGGAUACCCGCUGAACUUAAGCAUAUCAAUAAGCGGAGGA
RNAcentral lists this unclassified non-coding RNA (334 nucleotides) under soil metagenome. Its description in RNAcentral is "partial contains 5.8S ribosomal RNA, internal transcribed spacer 2, and large subunit ribosomal RNA". The stretch from base 1 to 120 matches the Rfam family "5.8S ribosomal RNA", at positions 35 to 154 of the family's 154-position model. The record is from RNAcentral.